This 327-nucleotide ribosomal RNA is filed under the name uncultured eukaryote. RNAcentral's name for it is "partial 18S ribosomal RNA". It matches the Rfam family "Eukaryotic small subunit ribosomal RNA", at positions 1470 to 1796 of the family's 1831-position model. The record is from RNAcentral.
CCCUUAGAUGUUCUGGGCCGCACGCGCGCUACACUGACGAAUGCAACGAGCUUAUAACCUUGGCCGAAAGGUCUGGGUAAUCUCCAAAUUUCGUCGUGAUGGGGAUAGAUUAUUGCAAUUAUUAAUCUUCAACGAGGAAUGCCUAGUAAGCGCAAGUCAUCAGCUUGCGUUGAUUACGUCCCUGCCCUUUGUACACACCGCCCGUCGCUCCUACCAAUUGAAUGGUCCGGUGAAGCGUUCGGACCGUGGCCUUUGGACGGUUCGCCGUCUGUUGGCUGCGGGAAGUUCGUUAAACCUUAUCAUUUAGAGGAAGGAGAAGUCGUANCA